GGAGUUAGAGGCAAAGGAAGGGCCACAUAUUCAAGAAAGAGCUCAUGGAUCCCAUCAUCAACAAUCUUGAUAUAUGUGGGUGCAUCUUCGCCAUAAAGUUUUGAAAAACUGAAUUCCACGAGCUUCAUUUUGAAGCGGGGAUCCAUGACUACAGCAAUUGCCAAAACCAGGCUGCAAUCCUUCCAAUAUUUGCUGAUCUUUUCUUGCAUUGCUUUGGUAA
This 220-nucleotide unclassified non-coding RNA is filed under the name Hevea brasiliensis (rubber tree). The record is from RNAcentral. Lineage: Eukaryota; Viridiplantae; Streptophyta; Magnoliopsida; Malpighiales; Euphorbiaceae.